GACGAACGCUGGCGGCGUGCCUAAUACAUGCAAGUCGAGCGGACUUUCAAGAAGCUUGCUUUUUGAAAGUUAGCGGCGGACGGGUGAGUAACACGUGGGCAACCUGCCUGUAAGACGGGGAUAACUCUGGGAAACCGGGGCUAAUACCGGAUAAUAUCUUUCUUCGCAUGAAGGAAGGUUGAAAGGCGGCGCAAGCUGCCGCUUGCAGAUGGGCCCGCGGCGCAUUAGCUAGUUGGUGAGGUAACGGCUCACCAAGGCGACGAUGCGUAGCCGACGUGAGGGGGUGAUCGGCCACACUGGGACUGAGACACGGCCCAGACUCCUAAGUGAGGCAGCAGUAGGGAAUCUUCCGCAAUGGACGAAAGUCUGACGGAGCCACGCCGCGUGAGCGAAGAAGGUCUUCGGAUCGUAAAGCUCUGUUGUCAGGGAAGAACAAGUACCGUUCGAAUAGGGCGGUACCUUGACGGUACCUGACCAGAAAGCCACGGCUAACUACGUGCCAGCAGCCGCGGUAA
This 515-nucleotide ribosomal RNA is filed under the name uncultured bacterium. RNAcentral describes it as "partial 16S ribosomal RNA". It matches the Rfam family "Bacterial small subunit ribosomal RNA", at positions 28 to 523 of the family's 1533-position model. The record is from RNAcentral.